UACGUAGGGUGCAAGCGUUGUCCGGAAUUAUUGGGCGUAAAGAGCUCGUAGGCGGUCUGUCGCGUCUGCUGUGAAAACUCGGGGCUUAACCCCGGGCCUGCAGUGGGUACGGGCAGACUAGAGUGCGGUAGGGGAGACUGGAAUUCCUGGUGUAGCGGUGAAAUGCGCAGAUAUCCGGAGGAACACCAGUGGCGAAGGCGACACGCUGGGCCGUACCUGACACUGAUGCGCGACAGCAUGGGGAGCAAACAGG
Molecule: ribosomal RNA, 253 nt
Filed under: uncultured bacterium
Lineage: Bacteria
Description: partial 16S ribosomal RNA
Rfam family: Bacterial small subunit ribosomal RNA
Source: RNAcentral